CUACCCCAGAUCAGGCAGGAUCACCAGCUGAGUUUAAGCAUAUCAAUAAGCGGAGGAAAAGAAACUAACAAGGAUUCCCUUAGUAACGGCGAGCGAACCGGGAAGAGCCCACCUUAAAAAUCGGACGUCUUCGGCGUUUGAAUUGUAUUCUGGAGAAGCGUCCUCAGCGACGGACCGGGCACAAGUUCCUUGGAAAGGGGCGCCAGAGAGGGUGAGAGCCCCGUCAUGCCUGGACCCUAUCGCACCACGAGGCACUGUCUACGAGUCGGGUUGUUUGGGAAUGCAGCCCCAAUCGGGCGGUAAAUUCCGUCCAAGGCUAAAUAUGGGCGAGAGACCGAUAGCGAACAAGUACCGCGAGGUAAAGAUGAAAAGGACAUUGAAAAGAGAGUCAAAGAGUGCUUGAAAUUGUCGGGAGGAAGCGGAUGGGGGCCGGCGAUUCGUCCCGGUCGGAUGCGGAACGGAGCAAUCCGGUGAGCCGAUCGAUUCGGGCCGUGGACCGAUGCGGAUUAAGGUGGUGACCUAAGCCCGGGCUUUUGUUACGCCCGCGGAGAUGUCGCUGCCUUAAUCGUGGUCUGGAGCACCCGCCUCACGGCGUGCCUCGGCAUCUGCGUGCUCAGGGCGUCGGCCUAUGGGCUCCCCAUUCGACCCGUCUUGAAACACGGACCAAGGAGUCUGACAUGUAUGCGAGUCAUCGGGUGAGUAAACCCGUAAGGCGCAAGGAAGAUGAUUGGCUGGAUCCCUCACGGGUGCACAGCCGACCGACCUUGAUCUUCUGAGAAGGGUUCGAGUGUGAGCAUGCCUGGCGGGACCCGAAAGAUGGUGAACUAUGCUUGAGCGGGGCAAAGCUAGAGGAAACUCUGGUGGAGCCCCGCAGCGAUACUGACAUGCAAAUCGUUCGUCUGACUUGGGUAUUGGGGCGAAAGACUAAACGAACCAUCUAGUAGCUGGUUCCCUCCG
RNAcentral lists this non-coding RNA (957 nucleotides) under Brassica napus (rape). RNAcentral describes it as "Eukaryotic large subunit ribosomal RNA". It matches the Rfam family "Eukaryotic large subunit ribosomal RNA", at positions 1 to 963 of the family's 3401-position model. Lineage: Eukaryota; Viridiplantae; Streptophyta; Magnoliopsida; Brassicales; Brassicaceae. The record is from Rfam by way of RNAcentral.